AGUCAAGCCAGAUUUUAGAUAAAUUACAUUAUUUGACGAUCAUUGAUACUUGUCUCUGCGUUAAGCCUCUCUAAGGUGAAAAUUUUAAAAAGAACCAGACGAGCUCCAUCAGGCACAGACGCGGACGGCCACAGGCUCAGGGGUCCUCUGGUUGGGAAGGUGUUGGUGGGCUCCGGGUUCUAAGAGUGUGCGGCGUGGAACUUCGCGUCUCCGAACGGUGCGGAGCCCGUUCCAUGGAGUAGCUAAGGGCUGGGCUAUUUUUCCGCGACCUUUGUUGCAGGUCAAGAGAGGAGUGCGGAACAGGCGAACGGGAUAACGGAGUUCCGUACCGGGAAGGGCCACGCCCACCUGCUGGAAGAGGCCGGACCGAGAGGUGUGGGGGAGACCGGCAGGCGUGGGAACGCGGCGGUGUGGACGGAGCUGCCUCGCGGCUGGCGAGGUGAGCUUGAUCAGUGGCGAAUCGCGAGGUCCCUGCCCGCCGUGAGUUGCGCACACCUGUCAUCCCCAUUCUUGGGAGGAGAAGCUGCAAGACCAGGAGGUCAGAAUCAUCCUCGACUGUGUAACAAGUUCGAAGCCAGCCUGGGCUACUUGAGACCUUGUCUCCCAUGUGAUCUCACCACCACCACCAGAAUACGUGUACUCUAAGACUUGGGGAAGUCUUAACUUUGGUUGUCAGACGCAUUCCCUUUUCUCUGUCAGGAGCAUAAUCCAGUUCUUUGUCUAGGACUCAGUACUAUCAGCUCCCCACCUUACACAAACUGAUAUUCAGAGUUUCUGCCAAACGUGAACAGUGAUCCAUAAGCAUGGGGGUCUUUAGGAGAGUCGACAAGAGGUCAGGCAGGAAAACGAAACCCCUGUUAAAGUGUAGGGUGUAGAGUCUGGCGUAGUAAUGCACGCCUUUUAAUCCCACUACUCAGGAGGCAGAGCAAGCUGAUCUAUGUGAGUUCAAGGCCAUCCUGGUCUACCUAGUGAGAGUUCCAGGGAAGACAAGGCUACCAGGAAGAGCAUGGGUGCAGCCGAGCCCCGGAUGGAAGUGUGUCCUUAUUGUAAGAAGCCGUUUAAGCGUUUAAAAUCCCACUUGCCGCACUGUAAAAUGAGAGGACCGUCCAUAUCUGCUGAUCAAAAUGUUUCUCAGUCCAAGCCAGCUGCACUUGCUCAAAAAGAGAAGAGUCCUACCAGAGACUUGACCAGAGCUAAAGAGAAGGAGCUAGAGGUAGACCGUCCGAAAAGAGCUGUGAAAGCAGAAACCAGCAGGGCAUCGUGGACAGCUGCAGCCUCUCCGCUUCCAGAGGGGAUCUUGGGAAGCGUGCGGAUAACAAAAGCAGAAGGAGAAAACAAAGAUCAAAAUCAGUUCUCCUUCCAAGCACUCAGCCAGGCCAAGCCAGAGGUGACUCUGCAGAGAGUCACAACCCCUUGGUCUCCUGCGUCAGAUGCCACCUCUCCUAAGAGAGAACUCACCCAAGAUGUGUCUGAGUCCAAGGGAAGUCCGUGUCCCUCAGAGACAGAAGCGCCUUCACUGGUCAGCUCAGUGGAACCUUUUCUUGCUAAUCAAGAUAGAAAAUAUUCAUCAACCCAGCCUCAUGCUAACCCAGCCACUUCUGUCGGGCUCAAGUUAGGCACAGUUGACCCCCAAAGACAGAAGCUUCGGGUAAAAUUAUUAGAUGUGCCUCUUAGUGAUCGUCAUUCUCCAAAGAGUGGCAGCCACGGGGUUCAGAGAGUAACACCCUCAGUGUUGAGCAGGGAGGAAGGUUCCCAAGAUGGAGGCCACCUCUUGGGAGUCUCUGCCCACCCUGGUAACACCAAGACCCAGAAGUCAGAAUCACUCCUCCUGGGCCUUCACACUGGCCUGCUGGGUAAAGCACCGGUCAGAGAGCAUCAGGAACUUGGCCUUGGCAUGGAGUUGAGCCAGAGCAAGGGAAAUACUGAGAACAGGAUGUCUGUCACCAACGUACAGGAAGGGGCUGGCUUGGGCCAAGGUGGUAAGGACCCCAUUACAGCCACAAAGGCAAAGCCACAUACCGCCCUCGAACUUAGGAACGUGUUCAUGCCGGAGUCAGGGAAUCAGAGCCUCACCUCUCCGGCUGUGACAUCUACUCCAGAAGAGAAUGCUCAAUUCUGUGGCCAAAGCCAUGUCCCUGCCAUAACACUGUCAGUGGGAAGUGUGAGAGAUGUUCUGGAACCCACAUCUUUCUACCAGCCCCACACGGCCCAGGCAGGGCACUGCCUAAUGUCAUACUCAGCUCAGUAUCCCGUUCCUAAAACCUUCGUUGGGCAUGUUGCUGCUGUUACCUCAGGGGCUCCUCCCAGGUCCGUGGGACUGGAGUGGUUUCCAGAACUCUAUCCUGCUUAUGUUGGACUAGGGGUGCUGCCAAGGAGGCCUCCGCCUUGGAGCUUAGCAGCUCAGGUCCCUCCUCUUCCCACUUUGCAGGGCAGGAGCGUCUCGAAAGUUCCUUGGUGGGGACGAAGUUCGGCUGAUAGCAGGAGUCUGGAACCCCUGACGCUUACAACUUCCAGCCUCCCUCUAAUGAGACUCUUGGGAGCUGUGCACAAAGGGUGGGUGCAGUGCAACACCACCAUAAAGAAGAGUGGUGUCGGUGGUCUCACGAUGCUCUUCGCUGGCUACUUUAUCCUGUGCUGUAACUGGAGCUUCAAGCAUCUGAUCAGCUGACCUCGUAUCCUGCUGUAUGAUUGGCAUCUCGGGCAUGUGCAGGAUAAAUGGAAAUAAGCCAGGUAGAGGAGGCUCUUUCUGCAUCCUGCAUCUCAUUACCGUGAUGGAGCUCACUGGACCACUGGGUACAGAAUACCCUGAGGAGGCCAUGGAGCCAGCCCUUACCUAGGAGAACGUCCAACUCCCUCGCUUCAGACUAGGUUUUGAUGGCUCCAACGGGUACAGCUUACUUUGCUGGCAUGGUGGCCUGGGUUUUGAAGAUAAAGGAGAAAGCAAGCUUAAAAGGUCAUGGCUGGUUUUGUCUUUGGUUUUUGAGACACAGUUUCUCUGCCUUCGCUGUCCUGGAUUUCGUUCUAUAGGCCAGGCUGGCCUCCAACUCACAGAGAUCUGCCUGACUCUGCCUCCCAAGUGCUGGGACUAAAGGUGUGUGCGACCACUGCCCGGCUAAGGCCACGCCUUUUCAUAAAUUCUCAGAAGAAAAGUCCCUGCUUGUCCAGAGAACCGCCGGAUGGUUUUCUAGAAUGUCUUGGCUUCUCCAGCCUCACGGCUCAGGAGGCUGGGAUGGGAGAACCUUGUAAGAACAAUGGGUUGAGAGCAGCCUGGAAAUAAUAGCAAGAUCUCGACCCAAAAGAGACGCUUAAGAUUCACGUUCGGCUCCCAUGUUUCAGAGAAGGCCAAGGUGGUUCUGGACUUGCAAAGGUCUCACGGAGCAGAGGCUUGCCUCUCUACAUAGCCAAGGAGGACUUUCAACUUCCGGUCCUCCUGCCUCCAUUUUGAAUGCAAACAGGAAUCAAACCCUUGAUGCCUACUAAGCAAGCAAGCAUUCUACCCACGGGACUGUAGCCUCGACCACUGAGGAUUUGUUUAAA
RNA transcript from Mus musculus (house mouse), 3537 nucleotides. It is a transcript of the gene named mitochondrial nucleoid associated protein 1, with no coding region annotated. The record is from RefSeq and is marked validated. Lineage: Eukaryota; Metazoa; Chordata; Mammalia; Rodentia; Muridae. The transcript has 6 exons.